UGGAGGAACUCGCGGGAGCAUUAAGCAGUCAGUACUGACUCUUAGAAUGACGUGAGUCUCUCCGCUCCUCUGAUGCCAACUUUCCAUCUUGCUAGGGUCGAAGAAGUCUGGGUCGGGGUGAAUAGGUACCAUCUUUGUUCUUAGAGGUGCGUGGUAGGGGCCUUGUUCCUGAUGCACACAAAGGCUAUUUCAGUCAUUUGAACACAUCGGAAGAGUUUAGGUUAGAAUUUUAAAGAAACGUAUGAAUUCUCGUUCCCUUCAAAUCUCAAUUCUCCUCCAUGAUAUAAAAUGAUCUUCUUUAAAAAGAUCAUAAAAUGAUCCCAUCUUACCCGAUCCAAAUGCCGAACAACAAACGGUCCACAUUUACCACGAGGAAGAGGGUUAAAACGUGCUCUCCAAUGACAACUCCCAACCCGGAACAGAUUCCAGCCAGGCAGCUAGCAGAGCUCGCUGGGUAAACGGCACAGGCCAUCGUGGGUGCAGAGCUCAGAGCCGGAAAGCAAACAGCUGCUGUAGCCUGAUUUGAGUUAAAAUAGUGUGAGUGUUUAGUCUGGCGCACGGCUUCAGGGGAGAUUGGCAGCUGGGUCAAACAAAGUCCUUCCAUUGGCUCUCUUCCCAGGCAGCUUCUGCUAGUAUUUAGGUACUAGUGCAGUGGAAGGCCCUUUUCUCAGGCAAAACCUAACAUCUGACCGCACCCUCUCUGCUUUUUCCAAAAAAAAAAAAAAAAAAAGCUUCUUUUUCCUUCUUUCGUUAAGAUAAAUUCUCCAGUAGACAACCUCUCCCACUAAUUGUGUAUUAGCAAUGUAUUUUAUCUUGAGAGCUGACGCACUGGGCUCUCGACGUGGUGUGGAAAGCAGCCUGUUACAGUGCUGGAUUCAUAAAAGGGUCUUUAUGGUUUGUGAAAGAAUAUCUGUGUGCUUGGGCAGGAAACUUUUUGAUCUGCAGAAAAGCCAGAAGACAUCUAGGUAAGGCUACGUAUCAAAUCUACUUUUUUGGGGAAAAGUUGGGCAGCGAGAGUGAUUCGUCACAGUGGACGUGAGUCUGGAAGUGUGCAUGUUCACUUUCGGAGAAGUUUAAAAGGAUAUCCUUGAAGAUUAAUCAGAGAACCUUUCAUUCACCCAUAAAGGUAGGAAAAAGAAAAUUUUUCUGGUUAUAAAAUAUGCUGUGUUUGUUUUAGCUAUCUUUCAAUGAUUUACUCCUCUUGUUACAUAGAGAUAGAAUUGAUGUCGCUUAUUCUGAAUAACUGAAAAGUAUAUUAUACCUACCUACUUGCUAAACUUGAAAUCAUCCAACACAUAGUGUUUAAUCAGUUUGAAUUUUUCUUCCAUGCUAUUGCAUACCAUUAUUACAGUUUAUGUUUUACUGUACACAGGGUUUAUUCUUUCUUUUACAUUUUUGUGUUAUCCCCUCCAUAAUUUUAGGGUAGCUUAAUAUUACCACAUAUCAGGAAGGUAAUUUUAUAAUAUAUUCAUUUAUAUAUAUCAAUAUAUGUAAUAUAGUGUUAGAAGCUGAGAUUCUCUUGUCUACCAUUAUUUCGUAUUUUUGUUCCUAUUUUAAACCUGUAAUCUUUUGAGAAAAAACAAAGUAACCAUAAGUGUAAUUAGCUGUCAGUGAUUUAGUAAUAUAAAUGUUAAUUUGGAAGAAUUUGCUUCAGUAUUAGCCUUACUUAUUAAGAGUGCCAGAAAAUGUGGCCCCUUUCUUGGCUACAAUGUAUGUGAAGAUAAAUUUAGAAUUUCUAGUCUAGUAAAUACUUCUCUGAUAAUAGCUUAAUUGUAGCUAUUUCAAACCAAAUUGUUUAAUUGUGGUGAAUCAUAUGCAAAUUGUUCAGAUGUAGGUCAACUCCCACUCUCACAUUCUAGCAUCUUUUCUAAUUCAGGACAAACUGCUCAAUGCCUAAAAGAAGCAGAACAGUACAGAUUAAAAGCAGGAGACAAAAAACAAAACAACAAUAAAAUAAAAACCAACAGUGGCGCAGGAGUCAGAAAGUUCCCAUAAAAAUGGCAAGGCAGAUUGCAUUUAUUUAUACCUUAGUUGAUGAUCCCUUUUGCCUGCUAUGUGUCUGUAGAUGUUAGUUUGCUCGCUGCUCAUGGGAUGUGUGGCUUGCCUGGCACAUCAUGGUUCCUCUAGGAUGCUAAGUUUCCUCAUCUGUAAAAUACAUGUACUAAUAUCAUUCUUGUCUAUUCAUUGAACUGCAAUGAGGAUCCAGUAAGACAAGGAAUGUAAAAUGAAUGUGUGACUCCUGUAAUCCUAUAUGGAAAGAGCAUGUUAUUUUUAACAAGCUGGGUUAGUGACAGAUGUGUGGGUCACACUCAUGGGAAGGAAUACCUGGGUAGCUCUGGCUGAGGCCAACUGAAAUAUAUUGCAGUUGUAGAAGCUAAAGAAAUCCUUCAUUUUUCUAAUUGUUGCAUUAUAGUUCUAACCAACUGUUGCCUUCGUGAUGAAGCGUUGUAUCAUUUUCCGGUGAAUGGCUGAGAUUUUAUGAUUCCAUUUCAUUUCUGCAUGUUGUCUACUAUACUUUCAAAGAGAAAUUUUUAUUUCUAGUUACUACCGCAUUGAAAAAUGAUAGAGCAGAUUCAUGAAUUUGUUACAUUUGUUGUCUUUUUUCUUUAGGUGACUCUUGCCGAUGUUUUUGGUAUAUUGACAGAAAAUAGUGAGCCUUGCUGGUUAUUGAUGAAAAACUAUUAUUUUGGUUUUAAUUCUAAUAUAAUUAGAAUUCUGCCUUAAUGUAACCAUAAUUCUUUUAUCAUUCUUCUUCCCUGGAAUUUGAUUGUUCAAGAAUUUGAAUUUAUAUUUUUACAUAAUUUAUGAUCGUCAACAUUUUCUAAAAUUUAUUUUGAAUUAAAUUAUUCAUUCUGGAUAAUUAUUGAAGAAUUAUUGAAUCAAAUUAUAGAAUUAAAAAGUAACAAUGACUUUUCUAAUUCUUAGAGUGGGGAAAAAUAGAUGGCAUAUGCUAUGUACUUCUUCCAAUAUAAGUAUCUUUGUGUUUGAAUUAUUUAAAAUCAUAAAAAAUAGAGGGGCCGUCCCCAUGACCGAGUGGUUAAGUUUGCAGGCUCCACUUCGGUGGCCCAGGGUUUCACCAGUUCAGAUCCUGGGCACAGACCUAGCACUGCUCAUUGAGCCGUGCUGAGGUGGUGUCCCAUGUAGCAGAACUAGAAGGGCCUACAACUAGAAGAUACAACUAGGUACUGGGUGGUUUUGGGGAGAAGAAGGAAAAAAAAAAAGAUUGGCAACAGAUGUUAGCUCAGUCCAAACUUUAAAAAAAAAAAAAAGAGUAAAACAAAAAAAUAGAAUUAUACUAAAUAGAAAGUAAUAUUUCCCUCAAAAUUAGCCACUGCUAAAGUUUCGGUGUUUAUUCUUCCAAAUUCCUUCUUCAUAUACAUAAACAUCGAGAUCAAUAUUUUGUGUACACUGUGCUUUCAUACCAUAUGCAUGAUUCUGUUUUUUAAAAUUUUAAUUAUGAACAUCCUUCUGAGUCAAAAUGCAUUUUCUAUUUCAUCCUUUUUAAUGACUGCAUACUAGGCAAAUUUUUUGAUGUACCAUGAUUUAUUUAAUAGGCCCUCCAAACUUUUUUUUAAAUAGUACCCUAAAAUAGAAUGAAAGAAGACAUUCUUUAAUUACACUUUUGGCAGGCAUACAAAAGAAUAAUGCCCAUUUGUACACUGAGUCAGGAAAUUAAGGAGCAAAGAAAAAGUGUUACAGUAAAGAGGCAUACAAAAUAUUAUCAAGUAAGUGCACAUAAAUGGUCAGGGGAAGGAAAAGCUAAUAAUACAGAUGUUCAUGCAAAAGUGUUGUAGUUAUGUAAAACUAAGAUUAUGCUAAUUUCUUCAAGGUUCACCCCAAGUGAUACCUCCUUCAUAAGCAUUCAAGGAGACUCUUGCCUUCAUCCUCAUUCUUAUCAGUUGUCUUACAUCUCCAUAACACUUUGGGAAAAAUUGACCUUAUCAUAUGAUGUCACAUAUAAAAAUUCAUUUUGCAUGUAUCUUUUUUCCCCUACAAGGCUGUUAACUCCUGGAGGGUAAUGACUGUGUGUUAUUCAUCUUUGAACCUAACAGAUGUAAAAUCAACCUUCAGUUAAAUUGGAUUGAAGUGUGAGAAAAGAGAGUAAUCAGGUAGCAAUGUUUAAUCUUACCAAAAUUUUAUAAGGUACCACUAUCUGCCUCUCUAUUGUCUCUGGAGUAAAUUAUCGUCAAUUCUUCUGAUCAAUGAGACACAAAUAAGAUAAAGAAAUGGUUUCUGAUAUACAGUGAAAAUUAUUUUAAAUUGAACUUUAAUGAUUCUUUGUGGCAGUCAUGCUCAAAAUCAUACCUACAAGUCAAGCAUUUAUUCAAAAUGUCUAAGUUUAUGAAAAAAUACUUGUAUGGUGUUGAACUUUCUUAUAUGGUACUUCAUGUGGAUCUAAAAGCAUUUUGUCAGCUUUAAAGCAUUAUACACAAGCAAGACAUUAUUAUUAUUGUUAAGACGGUAGUAAAAUGGUUCUGUGGAUUAAGAAUAUGGAUGGUUAUUUACAAAAUAGACGUAAAGUAUUAAAAAAAAUUCUUUAUGUGAAUUCUCUCAGAAGAAAGGGAGUAUCAUUUUCAGUACUUUGUAUAAGUUGCUACUCACACCAUUUAAAUGAAUCUUUGACAUUGUCUCAACCAGCAAAAGUAGAAUUAUUAAUAGUUCGAAUUAUACUUGAAUGAAUGCCUGGUUCUACGUUAGUCUGAAUUCAAUGGUAAUGUAAUUUUAAAAUAUCUGAACAGGUGUACCAAUAUCAGUUUCCAUUGCAGAAAAAUUGAGAAUUAGUGGGUAUAAAGGUCUCUUGAAACUGAAUGUAAUGCCUAGCACAUGGUAAUUUCUCUCCUCAUCUGACUUGCAUUAAGUCAACUGGUUCCAACUCUGAUUUUACAUGUUUUUCACUGGGCAAGUCAGUAAGAAGGGAAAACUCUUGACCAGUCUUUUCUAAAAAUGCAUUUUUGAGCUUGUUGACCUUUUAAAACCCAGAGCGUGAAACUUAGUAUUUCAAAUGCAUGCUUUUGCAUUGUCUUUGUUCUCAAAGCUCUGCAGUCUUUGUUAGCUAUUUGGCCAGGACUGCAAAUGCAAGGACCUUCAAGACCCAUACACACAACAGAAGUGAGUGCAACAAACCAACAUCAGGCAGUAGAGAGUGGUGUGGACUUCUAAACAGAUGAUCAUAUGCUUAACAUAUGAGGCCUACUUCUACUCAUUCCAGUCCAAUUUUAUAUUCAUUUGUAUAUUCCAGUGGCCAUAACUUCUGAAGGUAGAGGGAGUUUAAUAUUGGAAUUUUUAUGUGAAAUCUCAUGGUUUUUGAACAUUGGCUCACAUUUUUAAAAUUGAGAAAACAACAAACCUUGUAAAGGAGUCAGGACAUGCCUUAGGUAGGUAAUUUGUUACCUUUGCGUAGAUACUGUGUAAAUAUUUUCCCAAUCAAUGAAUGAGUCAUGGACCUCUAUAAGAAUUGGGAAAUUAAAGAACACUCUAAGCUUUGUUCUCCCUUGUCCAUUAGAAGUUUCUUAGAAUAUUUGAGGAAGGACCAUCGUCAGAGCAACAAAUGUGGAGACCUACAGUUAAACCUUUUCAGUCUGUCUCUGAGUUCCAGAAGCCAGAAAGACCAGAAAGGGGAGAGCAAGAGUGAACCAAGUAAACUAAGAAAGUAUUGUUAAAAUGUAUUAUGAUAUGCAAAAGAAUGAUGGCUAAGAAACAUCAUUUUUGGACACAUUUUUAUCUGACCCCCAACUUACCUUAUGCUACUAAUUUGUUACUGUCUUUUAUUUGAGCUUUCUGCAAAUCUUUAGUCUUUUAUUCACCUUAAAAGGAAGUGAAGAAUAAAGAUAAUGGAUUAAAAGGAAGUCAAAUGCAUGGGGGACGACAAAAAUUAAAGAUGCAGAUCCUGUCACAUAAUCAUUACUGAGUAAACAAAGAUCCAAUGGACCCUGGUUUGUUUUCCAUUCUGACCUAAGAUUUACUUCCUUUUUGAGAUCUCUCCUGCUUUCCUUCUGGACAGACUCACCCUUCCCUCUUCCCUGUCAGUCCUUUGUUAUACUACCACAUAUUUCACUGUACUUAAUGUACUUAAUCUAUUUACUUACAGUUGCUCACGUGUCUCUCCUCCCAAGUACACCUUGAGACCAGAAAUAAUACCUUUAAAACUUUUUUGGGGAAACAAUCAUAAACCAGUAGAAAAUUUGCAAGUGCAGUGCAAAGAACCAUUUGAAAGUAAUUUGCCAACCAAAUGCCCCAUUACCCUCAACUACGUUAGGACAUGUCUCCUUACAAACAAGGACAUUUUCCACAUAACCACAAUGAAUUCAUCAAUAUCAGGCUCUGAGGACUGAAUUAUGCCCCCCAAUACCAAUGUUGAAGCCCUAAUCCCCAAUGUAAUGGUAUUUGGAGAAAGAGCCUUUGGGAACUAAGAAAGUUUGAUGACAUCAUGAGGAUGGAGCCCACAUGGUAGGAUUAGUGCCAUUAUGAGAAGAGACACCAGAAAGCUUGCUUCCUUUCUCUCUCUCCCUGCCUUGUGAGGACACAAGCAAGGAAGAGAGUUCUCACCAAGGAAUGGAAUUGACUAGCACCUUGAUUUGGACUUCUCAGCCUCCAAAUCUGUGAGAAAUAAAUUCCUGUUGCUUAAACCACCCAGUCUAUGAUAUGUUGUUAUGGAAGCCGAGCUGACUGAUUCUUCAGGAAAUUAACAUUGAUACAUUGCUACCAUCUAAUUCUCAGAUCCCAUUCAAGUUUCAUCAGUUGUCCAAAUAAACUCCAACUACUGUCCUUUGGAGUGUAAGAGUGUUUCCAAAUGAUGUGCCUCAUUCAGCAGUCACAUUUUAUUAGUCUCUGUAAUGAGUGUGGAAAAGUCCCACAGCCUUUCCUUGAUUUUCAUGACCCUGAUACUUUUAAAGAUUUCAUUCCAGCUGUUUUGCAAGAAAGGCCUUUAAUUUGGAUUUGUCUGAUGCAGGGACUAUAUUUUAUGCAAGUUUGGAUCCUAGGAUCUAGGACAGUGUCUGGCAUAUAGAUGAUGUUCAAUAAAUGCUAGCUGGGAAAUGAAUUAGUGAUUAAAUACCUCUUCUGGGAAACUCUGAAUCACUUGAGUAAUGCUAAUAACAACUAUUUCAAAACUUUAAAGAGAAAAAUGUAAAAACAUGUGCAAAAUAGGGGGGAAAACCCAACUCUGGUGUCUUCCUGUAGUGGUAUUGAGGUCUGUUCUUUAAUUCACUUAGUGAGCAUGCAUACACUAGCCACUCUGCAAAGUGAGACUAAUUUCUUUAGAGAGGGCUUCUCAAAGUGUGGUCUGUGGAAUGUUUCCAGUUGACACACUGUUUCUGGUUCAUGAUGACAUAAGUAGAGAAACUAGGAAUAAGCAUUUAGAAACCUUUUUAGCAUUUUGACAAAGUGAUUCUGUUUCUGCUGAAUCUAAUAAUUCUAAAAUGUUGUAUUAAAUAUGUUUUAUUUGCCUUUUUUAUUCCAUCUAUCUAGUAAUUUAUGUACAUUGUAUUUCCCAUAAUUAUUGAUUCACAAUGGAUUAGAAAUUAAAAAUCUGGUCAUUUACCACAAUUUUUGGUCAUUCCCAUCAGAGUAGAGUGGGACAAAUGUGAGUUAAAAUAUGGUGGGAUUUGACCUGGAACCUGAAGAAUGUGUUGGAUCUUUCUAAUUUAUAAAGAAAUUGUUGUUGUUAGUGCUGUCAAGUAAAGUCCGACUCCCAGCGACCCUGUGUACAGCAGAGCAGAACCUGCCCAAUAUUUUUUUGCACCAUCUUCUCACCUUCUUGCACUAUGUCAGACAAUGCUCCACUGCUAUUCAUAGGGUUUUCAUGGCCAAUUUUUUCAGAAGUGGGUGGCCAGGUCCUUCUUCCUAGUCUGUCUAAUCUGGAAGCUCUGCUGAAACCUGUCCACCAUGGAUAACCCCGCUGGCAUUUGAAAUACCAGUGGAAAAGCUUUCAGCAUCAUAGCAACACACAGCCACCAUAGUACGACAACCGACAGACAAGUGGUGUGGUUCCCUGAUCAGGAAACAAACCCAGGCCACAGCGGUGAGAGCCCUGAAUCUUAACCACUAGACUACCAGGGCUAACCUUAUAAAGUAGAGAAAUGGGCAAUUCAGGCAUAGCAAAGUUUAAGAGUAUGCAUAUAUGUGUGCCUGUGUGCCAUUGUAUUCAUGCUUUUGUGUAUGGGGUGGAUAUCAAAAGACAAGAACUUUAAAAGAUGCUAAGAGCUCAUGAUUCCAACACUGGAUGAUAGCAACUCCUCCCGCAUCUGAUUUCAUUGCAUCCCAAAUCAUUGAUUCCAGUAGUAUUCCCCUCUAUAGAACAUUCUCUUGUUCUCCCUUUCCUUUCUGAAUUCAUUCUCUCUCUCAACCACCAGAAACCUAGAAUUCUCAUUGCUGAUAAAAAUGCUAAUAAGUUUCUCUGACCAAGAACGUGUCCAGUGCUGCUAUUACCGCUUCUAGAUGACAGAGCCUAGGCACAGAUUUCCAAAUAUUUAGAUGAAGAGAGAAGAGAUGUAGAUAGAAAAGAGGAAAAAUGUUGAGAGAAAGAAUAGAGGGACCAUAAGAAAUAAUGAUAUGGGAAAAAGAAAACCUGAAAGGAAGGAAAUAAAUGAUUGCAUUAAGUUUAAUUUACAUUGGCAACUUUCAAUCUCAGUAACCUUCAAUUCAGUUUAAAACAUAUUUAUUAAGUAAGUGUCAUGGACCAGACACUGGACUCGGGAAAUAAAAAGAAUAAUAAGACACAAGAACUUGCCCUAGAGUGACCACAGUGUUUUGGGUAAGACAGAUAAGCAAAUGCGAUUUCAGUGUAGUGAUUGGGACGUUCAUUGGGGUAUUUGCAGGUACCCCGGUGGAGAGGUGGUAGACAUACCUCUCAGGUUUCUCAGAGGAGAUGAUGCCCAGGAAGGGUCUGGAUGAAAACUAAGCUAAAUUGAAAAAGCAAGAUGGUGAAAGAGCACAGCUUGAUGAUCAGCGUUCAAUCCAGGAGCUGGCAUGGUGUUGGUGCUUAAUAAAUAUUUGUUGAAUGAAUGAACAACUUCAUUAGUUAGAAUUAGCUGACAAACUAGAGGUAAAGGCAACUUUAGGAAGGAAGGAAGAGGCAGGGGCAUGGAAGCAUAAAACAGCAAUGGUGAGGAGCGGGAGGGGUAAGAUCUGCAGUCCUCCCUAGUGGAGAAAAAUUGUGUGACAGGGAGAGGUGAGUUGAGAAUGGAGACGUUCAGUAGAAGCCAGGUUAUGGAGACGUUUCUUGGGAAUACGAAGCCCCCAGGCUUUGUCCAUGGGUAACAGGAAUGUGACAUUGUGAGAUUUGAAUUGCUGUUUGAUCGGAAAUGACUAAGUGCAGAGGAGACAGGACAGACGUAGUGGUACUACUUAGGAGACCAUUUCACUAGUCGUAGCAAGAACAGACAAAGACCUAACAGAGCAAUAGAGGAAGGGAUGGAGAAUGGCGGACGGGCAUUAGUGUACAGAUUCAGGAGUCAUUUGAGAAGCAGAAUCAGUGGAGCUUUCACUUAUUUAAUGGAUAGUGGAAGGGGAGGGGUAAGUCACAGUGUGAAGACAAAGGAUGAAAACUGGGACAAUUCCCAUAUUUGUGAUUUGGGCUCCUGGAUGGAUGAUGAUAUCCUAAAUGGAGCUAACGUGUAUGAGAGGAUAAAUAAGCUGUUGGAAAGUAGAAAGAGACAUAAAAAGGAAUCCAGUUUUAGACAGAAGAGGGAAGGUCAAAACUGGAGAAAUGUCUGUAUAUAUUUUUGUAUGGGUGUAUAUGUAAUAUUGCAGGUAUGCAUAUAUAGCAAGGGUUCAAUGUGUCAACUCUGCUGCACAGAGUCAUAUAAAAGCUUUACUUUCUCAUUAACUUAUUGCUGUCAAAUUAACUUAUUGCUUGAAUAUAUCAUUUGAAACUCUAAUAAUUCAUUCCAUAUUUCAAAAUGUACCACAGACAGAGAAAAAUGCUGUAGCUUAAAACUGAUUCCAGACUUGUGAAAACAUCAUGCGUCUCUACUACCAAAGCAAAAGGGGAAACCGUGCCAAUUACAUGCCUGAACCUGUUUCGGUUUCAAUUACCUGGAUUAUUGAGGCAGAAACAACCGUUGUGCCUAAUUUACCCUUAUAAUUGCCUUAGUUCUCUGCUUUGCCUUGCUCGUGGGCAUAUUUCCAUGUUAUACUAUUAUUAGAAAGGCAAAUUCACUUCCUUUUUUGGUGGUUCCAGAAGAAACACUUAAAAUAUUCUUUACAAUUCAGAGAAUUAACAUUUUAUAAGCCUUUGUAUUUAAAGAGUAAUAUACUAAGCAGAGGGAAGACAGUAAACCAGUAAUCACUUUGUAGUCAUCUUGCGAUGACUCUUACUCCUUUUUACAUAAAACCUCAGUGAAUCAGCCUUAUCAGGAGUGACCUUUGAGCACCUCCUGAUUUAAGGUAUCCAAAGAAACCAAAUAUAUGAACUCUCCAUAUAUUUGACUCAGUGUUGUAAAGGUUAGGUCUUCUGGUAACUCAUGCACUUGCGGUGAAACUCAAACUGGGUUAGUCAGUGGGAAGAGAAGACCUACCCCCCCAGUCUCCCAGCUACAAAUUCAGCUUUUCUAUACAGCAGUCUAAAACCUAAGAAUUUCAACUAAAUGGAGACAUUAACAGCACGGCCAUCAUCAUAUCCCUAAUAUUUCACCCGUAAUGCCCGCUCAGUAGUUUUUUUCAAUGCAGUUAAUGGGAAAACCAGAAUGGUAAGGUAGUGCAUAAAUAAAUUAUGAUUUUCACAAAUUACCUUUUUGGAUUAUCUUUUAUACAAGAGGUAGACAAGAUUUAUGUGAUGUCACUUCUUUUGUCCUGCAGACAGUCAGUGAAAAUGGAUGUCAAGUUUUAGUAGUCGGUUUUGCUUAACUUUCUAAAAUAUGUAGAAUCCAAAAUACAUAAAUCUAAGUUGAGUGUUUUAAAACUCACUUAGAAAUAUGUAACUUGAUAUUUAAUUUAAAUUCAUAAAGUGUGUAGGUAACCUCCCUCAUUUAUUUUCAUCUAUCCAAGUGUUCAUUCAUUUGUGGAUUUUAUCAAUGAGUAUUGAGCAUACACUAGGGAGUAGGCACUGUACAAAGCUUUGGAGACUCAUAGGCAUAAGUCAGAUCGUCUGUCCUCAGAAGGAUGCAAUACAGAUCUAAAAGCACAAGAGGACGGACUUUUAACCCUAAUCUGACCCAAAAGGCUCAGGUAUGGUUUCCCAGAGGAGAGGAUCUGAAUAUGGAGAUUUGAAGAGUCAGACAGAUUGACAAGAUGGAUAAGGGAGUUCCAGGUACCCUAAACAAAUAUUGAUGGCAGGAAAAACACACUUGAGGAAUAGCAGUAUGGUGCUUGGAAUGCAGAGAGCAAAAGGGAGAGGGCAAGACAAGUAGGCAUGUGCCGGAUCACGAGAGUUUGAAUGCAAUGCUAAUAACUUUGGAUUAAAUUCGGAAGAUAGUGAAGAACAAACGAAUACAUUUAAAGAAUGGGCAUUCACUGACAGAUUUCCAUAUUACAACAAUCCCUGGAGGUUUUUGCAACUGUGAAAACUAAGUAAAUUGAUCAAACAAGAGAGAUCAAGAAAGGAGAGUGAUCAAUAAAGAGAAGAGUGAGAAGAAGGUACAGUUGUAUAGGUUUUCAAGAGAUAUUUUAGCUAUCAAAUUGACAAAACUUCACCAUUUGGUGUGUGGGAGGUUAGCACAAGCUGGAAAUCUUAGAUGAGUCCCCAAGUUUGCAAGGAGGCUGGGUAGAUGAAAGCACCAUUAACUGACUCCAAAGAACAAGCUUGGGGGAAAGAUGAUGCAUUGAUGAUGAGAGGUUGAUGUAUUCUGUGAUGGAAGCAGACUAUUGAAUUGAUAAAACUGGCCCUUGAGAGAGAAAUGUAGCUAGAGUUAGUGGUUUGGGUAUAAUCAGUAUAACGAUGUAGGUGGAAGUUAAUUUAUUGAUGUAAAUGGGAUAGUCCGGCAGUAUAUUUAUGGCAAGAAGUGAACAUCGCUUGAAACAAUGAUGAGCAGUAGAUGACAUGAAAUUAUAAAUGCAGGACUGACGUGACAAAAGUUUCACCUAUAAUCUUAAUGUCUUUGAAUAUUAUUGUGGGAUGACUUCUUUAAUAGAUGCCUUGUAUUUUGAAAGACAAAGAGCCGAAGUCUAGGAAAAUUCUUUCCAAAAUAAAAGGAAGAGCUCUCAAAUCUUAAUAUUUGUUCCAUUUCUGUAAAUCUUAUUUUUAAACAAUCCACUUUAUAUUUUGACUCCCGUGUUCAAACCCGUCCUGUUAGUAUGAGAGCACAAAAACAUGACCAAAGGUUGCUUAGCAGUCAGGAUCCCACUUCUUCUUACCAGAUUUUUGGUUUUUUAUAAUUUUAUAGCACUCAACUUGUUGAAGAAGAGCAACCUUCUCCAAGAGUGAAGUUUUCAGUGAUCUAACUCACUCAGCCAUGGCAAUGUUUUCCUGCAUUAGCUCAUCAGAAAGAAUGCCAAUGACAUAAAAAUAAAUGGGAGCAAAAAUAAAUUAAAUAUUUGACCUUAAUAACAUAUUGCUCAACUCCUAUUUUGUUUAAUGUCACCUUCACAUGAAUUAGCCUAAUCAAAAAGAGUGAUUUCAUUUUCUACACUGUAAAACAGAGUUACAGAAAGGUUAAAUGACCACAGAAAGAAAUGUAGGCUGAGGAGGCACUUUUUUCUUUGAGAAUUAAAUAGAUUUUAGGCAGCUAUUAAUCUUAUAAAAUGUAUUUUAGGCCAAUAUUUUAGUCAAGCUAAUAUUCUACUUUUAAUUAGACCUAUACACAUUAGUGAGAUCUCUGUGAGACAACACGAGGUUGAAUGCCAUAAAGAUGAAUCAAUUCCAUAGACUUGAAAUUUUUUAGGAUUCAUUAUUACUCAGAUUUAACUAUAUUUCAUCAUCAUCUAGAGAUUAUUUAAGUGAAUCGAUGAAAUUUUAUCACAACUAGAGAUAAAACCUAAUUACUUAAUUUGAUAAUAGCUUUUUUCUAAUUUGUCUGAAAAUUGUAUCAUUUUCAUCAUAUUAUCAUAAUUGUCAUUUUAAAACAUGUAUAUUGAGCCAUGUUCAAGUUGUUAAUAAAUAGAUAAAGCCUCUUUUAUAACAAUUUGUAUUCAUAUUCAAAAACUGAAUUUUUUUUUAGAAAUUUAGGUCACAAACAAAAAUAAUAUAUCGUCAUUUAAGAUAAUUUGAAGACCAGUCAUUACUCAUGAGCACCUUGGAUGGGGUGAUCCUUUAUCAGCCCAAAUUCUCACUUCUCAUUCCCUUUCCUACCCAUCCCUCUUCUUUCUCUGGCGAAGUAUUUUCUUGAACAGACAGAGCCACAGAUAGCCCUGACCCUGUGUAUGGUCAAUAAAUAUCAAGAGAAUUUGGAAUGCUUCCAAAAGAGAAAUCUUUUUUAACAGUCUAAAGGAAGAGAUUAAAAACAAAAACAAAAAUAACACUCCACUCCUAGAUUCUAAACUGUGAUAUGUUCGUUGUGAGAGUGUGACUUUGAGAAUUGCAAGAAGAAAGGGCAGGGGGGAGGGGAAGGUGGAGCAGUGUGGUUGUUCAAACGAAUGUUGAAGAAUUAUGUCAUCCAAGACUGGUAUUUUCAUGAGUUUCUUGAUGCAAUAUCUAAUUAAAAUUAGUGUUUGCUUACUUUAAUAUUGCUUCAAUCUACUUUUAGCAAGAGGCUUGUAUCCAGUUUUAUGUAAUAUAUCUUUAAUUAAGUAUCUAAAAAUAAGUCACUCCUUAAAUUUAACUGCUAUCAUAUUUUCCCAGCUUAGAUUUACAUGAGCAAAAAAGAAGUUAGUAUUUUUAGCCUCAACAACUUGUUGCAAUAUAAAAGUUUUUGUCAUCUUAGGUUUAAAAUAAGGAAUUCAUGUAUUAAUAAAGGAGAUAAAAAAAUUUUAGAAAUAUUUUUACAGUAAACUGCAUUAAAAAUGUUUUCUCUUUGUAAAAAUUAGACCUUUCCUCUUCUAGCCAAAUUAAUUGGAUCUUGACUCUUUUGAAGGAAGCGAUUUUGAGAUGUUUAUUUUCUCAUUUAUCAACUUACAAGCACAUCUUUCUCCUUUGACACUUUCAUUCCAUUCAACUUGAUCUAACUCACUCUUUCCAAGAUCUGUGGCUAGCUUCUCCUUACUUCUUUUAAAUUAUUUUAAUUGAAAGAUAUCCUUCCUUUAUUCCCUGACAGUCUCUUCCAUGUACACCCAUGUACACGUUGCAAAAAUUGGCCUCACCACCCUUUCCAACGUAGCCAUCUUUUUCCAGUCUUCUUUCUACUUUCUCCAUCCUCUUCCCACCUUAGAUGUGCCUACCUUUGCCUCGCUCGGUAUUGCGUGGUAAGAGCCCCCCUUUGCCAUCUGCACUCUGCUUUGCAAACCCACUCUGUGGAUAGAUGUCAAGCAGAGCAGUUUAUUGUACUUCUUUGUAUAUAACUCUCCUUAAUAGUUUAUAAGCUGAAUUAUUUUUGUACUCCC
This is a long non-coding RNA of Equus caballus (horse), 14412 nucleotides long. Lineage: Eukaryota; Metazoa; Chordata; Mammalia; Perissodactyla; Equidae. The record is from Ensembl.